GAUGAACGCUGGCGGCGUGCCUAAUACAUGCAAGUCGAGCGAACGGACGAGAAGCUUGCUUUUCUGAUGUUAGCGGCGGACGGGUGAGUAACACGUGGAUAACCUACCUAUAAGACUGGGAUAACUUCGGGAAACCGGAGCUAAUACCGGAUAAUAUUUUGAACCGCAUGGUUCAAAAGUGAAAGACGGUCUUGCUGUCACUUAUAGAUGGAUCCGCGCUGCAUUAGCUAGUUGGUAAGGUAACGGCUUACCAAGGCAACGAUGCAUAGCCGACCUGAGAGGAUGAUCGGCCACACUGGAACUGAGACACGGUCCAGACUCCUACGGGAGGCAGCAGUAGGGAAUCUUCCGCAAUGGGCGAAAGCCUGACGGAGCAACGCCGCGUGAGUGAUGAAGGUCUUCGGAUCGUAAAACUCUUUUAUUAGGGAAGAACAUAUGUGGAAGAAACUGUGCACAUCUUGACGGUACCUAAUCAGAAAGCCACGGCUAACUACGUG
This 497-nucleotide ribosomal RNA is filed under the name uncultured bacterium. RNAcentral's name for it is "partial 16S ribosomal RNA". It matches the Rfam family "Bacterial small subunit ribosomal RNA", at positions 28 to 507 of the family's 1533-position model. The record is from RNAcentral.